GAUGAGUUGCGAACGGGUGAGUAACGCGUAGGUAACCUGCCUUGUAGCGGGGGAUAACUAUUGGAAACGAUAGCUAAUACCGCAUAACAAUGGAUGACACAUGUCAUUUAUUUGAAAGGGGCAAUUGCUCCACUACAAGAUGGACCUGCGUUGUAUUAGCUAGUAGGUGAGGUAAUGGCUCACCUAGGCGACGAUACAUAGCCGACCUGAGAGGGUGAUCGGCCACACUGGGACUGAGACACGGCCCAGACUCCUACGGGAGGCAGCAGUAGGGAAUCUUCGGCAAUGGGGGCAACCCUGACCGAGCAACGCCGCGUGAGUGAAGAAGGUUUUCGGAUCGUAAAGCUCUGUUGUAAGUCAAGAACGGGUGUGAGAGUGGAAAGUUCACACUGUGACGGUAGCUUACCAGAAAGGGACGGCUAACUACGUGCCAGCAGCCGCGGUAAUACGUAGGUCCCGAGCGUUGUCCGGAUUUAUUGGGCGUAAAGCGAGCGCAGGCGGUUUGAUAAGUCUGAAGUUAAAGGCUGUGGCUCAACCAUAGUUCGCUUUGGAAACUGUCAAACUUGAGUGCAGAAGGGGAGAGUGGAAUUCCAUGUGUAGCGGUGAAAUGCGUAGAUAUAUGGAGGAACACCGGUGGCGAAAGCGGCUCUCUGGUCUGUAACUGACGCUGAGGCUCGAAAGCGUGGGGAGCGAACAGGAUUAGAUACCCUGGUAGUCCACGCCGUAAACGAUGAGUGCUAGGUGUUGGAUCCUUUCCGGGAUUCAGUGCCGCAGCUAACGCAUUAAGCACUCCGCCUGGGGAGUACGACCGCAAGGUUGAAACUCAAAGGAAUUGACGGGGGCCCGCACAAGCGGUGGAGCAUGUGGUUUAAUUCGAAGCAACGCGAAGAACCUUACCAGGUCUUGACAUCCCGAUGCUAUUUCUAGAGAUAGAAAGUUACUUCGGUACAUCGGUGACAGGUGGUGCAUGGUUGUCGUCAGCUCGUGUCGUGAGAUGUUGGGUUAAGUCCCGCAACGAGCGCAACCCCUAUUGUUAGUUGCCAUCAUUCAGUUGGGCACUCUAGCGAGACUGCCGGUAAUAAACCGGAGGAAGGUGGGGAUGACGUCAAAUCAUCAUGCCCCUUAUGACCUGGGCUACACACGUGCUACAAUGGUUGGUACAACGAGUUGCGAGUCGGUGACGGCGAGCUAAUCUCUUAAAGCCAAUCUCAGUUCGGAUUGUAGGCUGCAACUCGCCUACAUGAAGUCGGAAUCGCUAGUAAUCGCGGAUCAGCACGCCGCGGUGAAUACGUUCCCGGGCCUUGUACACACCGCCCGUCACACCACGAGAGUUUGUAACACCCGAAGUCGGUGAGGUAACCUUU
Molecule: ribosomal RNA, 1364 nt
Filed under: Streptococcus thermophilus
Lineage: Bacteria; Bacillati; Bacillota; Bacilli; Lactobacillales; Streptococcaceae
Description: 16S ribosomal RNA
Rfam family: Bacterial small subunit ribosomal RNA
Source: RNAcentral